CUUACACUUUUUUUUGCGUACUAAAUGCUAUACAUCACCAGAUGCCCAACAUGACAUCUGGACACGCAAAGUCUAAAGUGCCAUCAAAGUUGUUGGGACACGGUAAGGCCUUUCCCAAAUGCUCGUGUUGUGCAACCUCCAGGUACCCUCUGCUGUCAGGAUCCAUGUAUUGCUGCAAAGGUCAGUUAUGUAAUAUUUGUUUUUAAAAAGUGACAUCUUUAGAGUGGCC
Non-coding RNA from Pelobates cultripes (western spadefoot toad), 229 nucleotides. Lineage: Eukaryota; Metazoa; Chordata; Amphibia; Anura; Pelobatidae. The record is from the annotation of a GenBank genome assembly.